Molecule: non-coding RNA, 116 nt
Filed under: Halobacillus mangrovi
Lineage: Bacteria; Bacillati; Bacillota; Bacilli; Caryophanales; Bacillaceae
Description: SAM-I sequence
Rfam family: SAM riboswitch aptamer (S box leader)
About the family: The SAM riboswitch is found upstream of a number of genes which code for proteins involved in methionine or cysteine biosynthesis in Gram-positive bacteria.
Source: RNAcentral
UUCUUAUCCUGAGAGGUGGAGGGACUGGCCCUUUGAAGCCUCGGCAACGGGUCUGAGUAAGCGUCAUUCAGAAACUGUGCCAAUUCCAGCAAGUGAAGUCACUUGGAAGAUAAGAA